AUUGAACGCUGGCGGCAUGCCUUACACAUGCAAGUCGAACGGCAGCACGGGUGCUUGCCCCUGGUGGCGAGUGGCGAACGGGUGAGUAAUACAUCGGAACAUGUCCUGUCGUGGGGGAUAGCCCGGCGAAAGCCGGAUUAAUACCGCAUACGAUCUACGGAUGACAGCGGGGGACCUUCGGGCCUCGCGCUAUAGGGUUGGCCGAUGGCUGAUUAGCUAGUUGGUGGGGUGAAGGCCUACCAAGGCGGCGAUCAGUAGCUGGUCUGAGAGGACGACCAGCCACACUGGGACUGAGACACGGCCCAGACUCCUACGGGAGGCAGCAGUGGGGAAUUUUGGACAAUGGGCGAAAGCCUGAUCCAGCAAUGCCGCGUGUGUGAAGAAGGCCUUCGGGUUGUAAAGCACUUUUGUCCGGAAAGAAAUCCUUGGCCCUAAUACGGUCGGGGGAUGACGGUACCGGAAGAAUAAGCACCGGCUAACUACGUG
This 486-nucleotide ribosomal RNA is filed under the name uncultured bacterium. RNAcentral's name for it is "partial 16S ribosomal RNA". It matches the Rfam family "Bacterial small subunit ribosomal RNA", at positions 30 to 507 of the family's 1533-position model. The record is from RNAcentral.